RNAcentral lists this ribosomal RNA (495 nucleotides) under uncultured bacterium. Its description in RNAcentral is "partial 16S ribosomal RNA". It matches the Rfam family "Bacterial small subunit ribosomal RNA", at positions 28 to 507 of the family's 1533-position model. The record is from RNAcentral.
GACGAACGCUGGCGGCGUGCCUAAUACAUGCAAGUAGAACGCUGAAGGAGGAGCUUGCUUCUCUGUAUGAGUUGCGAACGGGUGAGUAACGCGUAGGUAACCUGCCUGGUAGCGGGGGAUAACUAUUGGAAACGAUAGCUAAUACCGCAUAAUAGUAUAUGUUGCAUGACAUUUGCUUAAAAGGUGCAAUUGCAUCACUACCAGAUGGACCUGCGUUGUAUUAGCUAGUUGGUUGGGUAAAGGCUCACCAAGGCGACGAUACAUAGCCGACCUGAGAGGGUGGUCGGCCACACUGGGACUGCGACACGGCCCCAGCUCCCACUGGGGGCAACCGUAGGGAAUCUUCGGCCAUGGGCGGAAGUCUGACCGCGCAACGCCGCGUGAGUGAAGAAGGUUUUCCGAUCGUAAAACUCUGUUGUAAGAGAAGAACGAGUGUGAGAGUAGAAAGUUCACACUGUGACGUUAUCUUACCAGAAAGGGACGGCUAACUACGUG